GAUGAGGUAGCUCAGUGGUUAGAGCGCGAAUUUACUGCCGGAAGAUCCGUGGUUCGAACCCGGCCUCAGCA
RNAcentral lists this transfer RNA (71 nucleotides) under Clonorchis sinensis. It matches the Rfam family "tRNA". From Rfam's summary of the family: Transfer RNA (tRNA) molecules are approximately 80 nucleotides in length. Their secondary structure includes four short double-helical elements and three loops (D, anti-codon, and T loops). Lineage: Eukaryota; Metazoa; Platyhelminthes; Trematoda; Opisthorchiida; Opisthorchiidae. The record is from Rfam by way of RNAcentral.